CCUACGGGGGGCAGCAGUGGGGAAUAUUGGACAAUGGGGGAAACCCUGAUCCAGCCAUGCCGCGUGUGUGAAGAAGGCCCUCGGGUUGUAAAGCACUUUCAGUGAGGAAGAACGCCUGGUGGUUAAUACCCAUCAGGAAAGACAUCACUCACAGAAGAAGCACCGGCUAACUCCGUGCCAGCAGCCGCGGUAAUACGGAGGGUGCGAGCGUUAAUCGGAAUUACUGGGCGUAAAGCGCGCGUAGGUGGCUUGAUAAGCCGGUUGUGAAAGCCCCGGGCUCAACCUGGGAACGGCAUCCGGAACUGUCAAGCUAGAGUGCAGGAGAGGAAGGUAGAAUUCCCGGUGUAGCGGUGAAAUGCGUAGAGAUCGGGAGGAAUACCAGUGGCGAAGGCGGCCUUCUGGACUGACACUGACACUGAGGUGCGAAAGCGUGGGUAGCAAACAGGAUUAGAUACCCUGGUAGUC
This 465-nucleotide ribosomal RNA is filed under the name Vreelandella stevensii. RNAcentral describes it as "partial 16S ribosomal RNA". It matches the Rfam family "Bacterial small subunit ribosomal RNA", at positions 338 to 795 of the family's 1533-position model. The record is from RNAcentral. Lineage: Bacteria; Pseudomonadati; Pseudomonadota; Gammaproteobacteria; Oceanospirillales; Halomonadaceae.